RNAcentral lists this ribosomal RNA (788 nucleotides) under uncultured Porphyromonas sp. RNAcentral describes it as "bacterial SSU rRNA". It matches the Rfam family "Bacterial small subunit ribosomal RNA", at positions 69 to 852 of the family's 1533-position model. Lineage: Bacteria; Pseudomonadati; Bacteroidota; Bacteroidia; Bacteroidales; Porphyromonadaceae. The record is from RNAcentral.
GCAUGGUCUUAGCUUGCUAAGACUGAUGGCGACCGGCGCACGGGUGCGUAACGCGUAUGCAACUUGCCUCGCAGAGGGGGAUAACCCGUCGAAAGACGGACUAAUACCGCGUACACUUACAGGAGGGCAUCCUCCAGUAAGGAAAUGAAAUUCGCUGUGAGAUAGGCAUGCGUCCCAUUAGCUAGUUGGUGAGGUAACGGCUCACCAAGGCGACGAUGGGUAGGGGAACUGAGAGGUUGAACCCCCACACUGGUACUGAGACACGGACCAGACUCCUACGGGAGGCAGCAGUGAGGAAUAUUGGUCAAUGGGCGAGAGCCUGAACCAGCCAAGUCGCGUGAAGGAUGACUGUCUUAUGGAUUGUAAACUUCUUUUAUACGGGAAUAACAAGAGUCACGUGUGGCUCCCUGCAUGUACCGUAUGAAUAAGCAUCGGCUAACUCCGUGCCAGCAGCCGCGGUAAUACGGAGGAUGCGAGCGUUAUCCGGAUUUAUUGGGUUUAAAGGGUGCGUAGGCGGCCUGUUAAGUCAGCGGUGAAAUCUAGGAGCUUAACUCCUAAAUUGCCAUUGAUACUGGCGGGCUUGAGUGUAGAUGAGGUAGGCGGAAUGCGUGGUGUAGCGGUGGAAUGCAUAGAUAUCACGCAGAACUCCGAUUGCGAAGGCAGCUUACUAAGGUACAACUGACGCUGAAGCACGAAAGCGUGGGUAUCAAACAGGAUUAGAUACCCUGGUAGUCCACGCAGUAAACGAUGAUAACUGGGCGUAUGCGAUAUACAGUAUGCUCCUAAGC